CCUACGGGUGGCAGCAGUGGGGAAUAUUGCGCAAUGGGGGGAACCCUGACGCAGCGACGCCGCGUGAGCGAAGAAGGCCUUAGGGUCGUAAAGCUCUGUUGUAAGGGACGAAAGGAUAAGGGAGUAACUGCCCUUAUGGUGACGGUACCUUACGAGGAAGCCCCGGCUAACUACGUGCCAGCAGCCGCGGUAAGACGUAGGGGGCGAGCGUUGUCCGGAAUUACUGGGCGUAAAGAGCACGUAGGCGGGUAAGAAAGUCAGAUGUGAAAGACCGUGGCUUAACUACGGGGUUGCAUCUGAAACUGCUAAUCUUGAGGGCAGGAGAGGUCAGUGGAAUUCCUGGUGUAGCGGUGAAAUGCGUAGAAAUCAGGAGGAACACCGGUGGCGAAGGCGACUGACUGGACUGACCCUGACGCUGAGGUGCGAAAGCGUGGGUAGCAAACAGGAUUAGAUACCCGUGUAGU
This 464-nucleotide ribosomal RNA is filed under the name uncultured bacterium. RNAcentral's name for it is "bacterial SSU rRNA". It matches the Rfam family "Bacterial small subunit ribosomal RNA", at positions 338 to 794 of the family's 1533-position model. The record is from RNAcentral.